RNAcentral lists this ribosomal RNA (494 nucleotides) under uncultured bacterium. RNAcentral describes it as "partial 16S ribosomal RNA". It matches the Rfam family "Bacterial small subunit ribosomal RNA", at positions 28 to 507 of the family's 1533-position model. The record is from RNAcentral.
GACGAACGCUGGCGGCGUGCUUAACACAUGCCAGUCGAACGGAAAGGCCUGCUUUCCCUUGUGGAUUGCGGGUACUCGAGUGGCGAACGGGUGAGUAACACGUGAGUGAUCUGCCCCCAACUUGGGUAUAAGCCUGGGAAACUGGGUCUAAUUCCCGAUAGGACUGCAGGGUGGUGCCUGUGGUGGAAAACGAUUUUCUAGUGGUUGGGGAUGAGCUCGCGGCCUAUCAGCUUGUUGGUGGGGUAAUGGCCUACCAAGGCGGCGACGGGUAGCCGGCCUGGGAGGGAGGACGGCCACAUUGGGACUGAGAUACGGCCCAGAAUCCUACGGGGGGCAGCAGUGGGGAAUAUUGCACGAGGGGCGGAAGCCUGAGGCAGCGACGCCGCGUGGGGGAUGACGGCCUUCGGGUGGUAAACUCCUUUCGACCGCGAGGAAGCCACCUGGUUGGAAGGGUGGUGACGGUAGUGGUAGAAGAAGCACCGGCUAACUACGUG